CGCGGGGUAGAGCAGCCCGGUAGCUCGUCAGGCUCAUAACCUGAAGGCCGCAGGUUCGAAUCCUGCCCCCGCCACCA
This 77-nucleotide transfer RNA is filed under the name Alphaproteobacteria bacterium GWA1_45_9. RNAcentral's name for it is "tRNA-Met". It matches the Rfam family "tRNA". From Rfam's summary of the family: Transfer RNA (tRNA) molecules are approximately 80 nucleotides in length. Their secondary structure includes four short double-helical elements and three loops (D, anti-codon, and T loops). Further hydrogen bonds mediate the characteristic L-shaped molecular structure. tRNAs have two regions of fundamental functional importance: the anti-codon, which is responsible for specific mRNA codon recognition, and the 3' end, to which the tRNAs corresponding amino acid is attached (by aminoacyl-tRNA synthetases). tRNAs cope with the degeneracy of the genetic code in two manners: having more than one tRNA (with a specific anti-codon) for a particular amino acid; and 'wobble' base-pairing, i.e. permitting non-standard base-pairing at the 3rd anti-codon position. The record is from RNAcentral. RNAcentral also lists the same sequence under 5 other names. Lineage: Bacteria; Pseudomonadati; Pseudomonadota; Alphaproteobacteria.